This 301-nucleotide ribosomal RNA is filed under the name uncultured bacterium. RNAcentral's name for it is "partial 16S ribosomal RNA". It matches the Rfam family "Bacterial small subunit ribosomal RNA", at positions 509 to 807 of the family's 1533-position model. The record is from RNAcentral.
CAGUAGCCGCGGGAAUACAGAGGGUGCGAGCGUUAAUCGGAUUUACUGGGCGUAAAGCGUGCGUAGGCGGCUAAUUGAGUCGGAUGUGAAAUCCCCGAGCUUAACUUGGGAAUUGCAUUCGAUACUGGUUAGCUAGAGUGUGGGAGAGGAUGGUAGAAUUCCAGGUGUAGCGGUGAAAUGCGUAGAGAUCUGGAGGAAUACCGAUGGCGAAGGCAGCCAUCUGGCCUAACACUGACGCUGAGGUACGAAAGCAUGGGGAGCAAACAGGAUUAGAUACCCCAGUAGUCCCUGUCUCUUAUAC